This 75-nucleotide transfer RNA is filed under the name Nitrososphaerota archaeon. RNAcentral's name for it is "Thaumarchaeota archaeon tRNA-Glu". It matches the Rfam family "tRNA". From Rfam's summary of the family: Transfer RNA (tRNA) molecules are approximately 80 nucleotides in length. Their secondary structure includes four short double-helical elements and three loops (D, anti-codon, and T loops). Lineage: Archaea; Thermoproteati; Nitrososphaerota. The record is from RNAcentral.
GCCCCGGUGGUGUAGACCGGUCAAGCAUGCGACCCUCUCGAGGUCGCGACAUGGGUUCAAAUCCCGUCCGGGGCA